RNAcentral lists this ribosomal RNA (468 nucleotides) under uncultured bacterium. RNAcentral's name for it is "partial 16S ribosomal RNA". It matches the Rfam family "Bacterial small subunit ribosomal RNA", at positions 28 to 507 of the family's 1533-position model. The record is from RNAcentral.
GACGAACGCUGACGGCGUGCUUAACACAUGCAAGUCGAACGGAAAGACCCUGCUUUUGUGGGGUGCUCGAGUGGCGAACGGGUGAGUAACACGUGAGUAACCUGCCCUUGACUUUGGGAUAACUUCAGGAAACUGGGGCUAAUACCGGAUAGGAGCUCCUGCUGCAUGGUGGGGGUUGGAAAGUUUCGGCGGUUGGGGAUGGACUCGCGGCUUAUCAGCUUGUUGGUGGGGUAGUGGCUUACCAAGGCUUUGACGGGUAGCCGGCCUGAGAGGGUGACCGGUCACAUUGGGACUGAGAUACGGCCCAGACUCCUACGGGAGGCAGCAGUGGGGAAUAUUGCACAAUGGGCGGAAGCCUGAUGCAGCAACGCCGCGUGCGGGAUGACGGCCUUCGGGUUGUAAACCGCUUUCGCCUGUGACGAAGCGUGAGUGACGGUAAUGGGUAAAGAAGCACCGGCUAACUACGUG